RNAcentral lists this ribosomal RNA (468 nucleotides) under uncultured bacterium. RNAcentral describes it as "partial 16S ribosomal RNA". It matches the Rfam family "Bacterial small subunit ribosomal RNA", at positions 28 to 507 of the family's 1533-position model. The record is from RNAcentral.
GACGAACGCUGGCGGCGUGCUUAACACAUGCAAGUCGAACGGAAAGGCCCUGCUUUUGUGGGGUGCUCGAGUGGCGAACGGGUGAGUAACACGUGAGUAACCUGCCCUUGACCUUGGGAUAACUUCAGGAAACUGGGGCUAAUACCGGAUAGGAGCUCCUGCCGCAUGGUGGGGGUUGGAAAGUUUCGGCGGUUGGGGAUGGACUCGCGGCUUAUCAGCUUGUUGGUGGGGUAGUGGCUUACCAAGGCUUUGACGGGUAGCCGGCCUGAGAGGGUGACCGGCCACAUUGGGACUGAGAUACGGCCCAGACUCCUACGGGAGGCAGCAGUGGGGAAUAUUGCACAAUGGGCGGAAGCCUGAUGCAGCAACGCCGCGUGCGGGAUGACGGCCUUCGGGUUGUAAACCGCUUUCGCCUGUGACGAAGCGUGAGUGACGGUAAUGGGUAAAGAAGCACCGGCUAACUACGUG